GAUGAACGCUGGCGGCGUGCUUAACACAUGCAAGUCGAACGAGAUUUCUGUGGACAUUCUUUUGGGAAUGGAACUGCAAUGAAAGUGGCGAACGGGUGAGUAACACGUUAGCAACCUACCUUACACAGGGGAAUAGCCGUCUGAAACGACGAUUUAUAUUGCAUCAGACCACAGAAUAGCAUGAUAUAGGGGUCAAGGAUUUAUUGGUGUAAGACGGGCUCGCGUAUCAUUUGCAAGUUGGAAGGGUAAAGCCAUACCAAGGCGAAGAUCAGUAGCCGGUAUGAGAGGAAGGGCCGAGACACUGAAGCUGAGACGCAGUACAAACUCUUACGGGAGGGAGAAAUGGGUGAUAGUGCACAGGGGGGGGAACGAUGAUGCAGCGAGGACGCGUGAGCGAAGUAAGUUUUCGAAUCGUAAAGCUCUGUCAAAUGAGAAGAUAAUGACGGUACCAAAGGAGAAAGCCCCGGCUAAAUACGUG
This 478-nucleotide ribosomal RNA is filed under the name uncultured bacterium. RNAcentral describes it as "partial 16S ribosomal RNA". It matches the Rfam family "Bacterial small subunit ribosomal RNA", at positions 28 to 507 of the family's 1533-position model. The record is from RNAcentral.